GGAGGUUUUCUCUCUAUCGUGGGCAUCGGGAGGCCUAAUCCCCACUCGCCGCGGUUAUUCUUUGCCAGUCCCCAAGCUCCCCCACGCGCUCCUCUCCUCCAGCUCCUCAGAUCCGGCGACCUCCGGCUCCUCGCCGCCGCCACGGAAAUUCGGCGCCUCCGCGCCCUUUAUCGACCCAUGGAGACCGGGCUCAUUUCCUUCCUGCCCCUCCUUCGACGGCUGUCCCGAAUUUCCGGCGUCGCGCGUGGCCGGAGCUGAGGACGCGUUCCUCUCCGUCUCCCAUGUCCCGGUCGCGCGCGCGGCAUGCCUAUGUAAAGCCCGUCGUCGCCGUGCCCCUGGCUUGCCCGUUGUCCCCGUGCCCGCUCUUCACCAUCCUCGGCGCCAUAUCCGCAAAAGGUUUCUAGUCGAGGGCGUCCUGCAGCGAGCAGUGCAGGAAAUUGACAUAUGGCGGCGAGCGGAUGCAUGUCCGUAAGCGAGUGGGUGAGCGGCGAGCGGGUGCAUGUCCGGCAACGAGCGGGUGAGUGGCGGUCGGAAUCGGAGGUCAGGCGUGCGGCGGGAGGGCUCUGCACCAACCGUGUCCUCAUCAACGUCGUGAUUGGCCGGCCGACGGUGCUUCCGGUGGUAUCGGCUUCCUUGUCGGGCAGCGCACCAGGUGGUGACUGCAGGCGGCGCAGCGUCGUGGUCGGGCAGCACAACAGAUUAUUUUGCCGGCGGCGCUGCGGGUGGGCCAGCGACCUCAGCUCUUCUGUGGUUAGUUUCACGCCAGGGAGUGGUAAUCUCUGUUUCGCUGGAUAUCAGGAACAAACAGAAAAGAUCUCUCUCCAGUUCAGACCUACAGCUGCACUGAGUCCUGCUACCGAUCUUGUUUGGUCUUCCCGUACAGAUGUUCCUAGACUCCUCAGAAACCUUGGUUCCGUUCUUGUGAGCAUCGUGGUCUAGUGUUGAUGCAUGUUGCUGCAACCUUAGCAUAUUCACUUGUUUGUUUACACAAAUCCAAGCUCUGUAAUCAUAUUUCAGCCACCAAGCCAAGGUUGAUAUUAUAACGAUAUCUUUGAUAGCAAUACUGUUGCGUAAUAAGCGUUGGCUUUGUCUCUUCAUACAUGCCAAAUAAGUAAUGACUAGCUAUUUGGCUUCACAUGGAAGUUUUAAAAUGUUAUGAAAAAGUUACUCACAUACAGCAAAAGAAAAUGAUAUGCUUACAAAGCACAUCAAUGCCCCUAGUGUUAUUUCAGCUGUAUCUGGUCUUUGGAAAUGGGUAUAUGUACAAAUAAGAAGUAUGCGUUUGGGUAAAUCCUUCUGUUAGUAAAUCUUUUACCUCUUUCUGUUUGGCAUGCAUCUCAGUUUUUAUGAUUUUCCUGUCAUUAUACAUGACUUUUGUUAUGCAUAAAUACCUCUCAACUUUUCAGAUGCCUAGUUAUGGUAUUGUCAUUUGCAUGAAAAUUGAUGAUAGUGUGAAUGGAAAAUUCAUGGAAGUUUGUGUGAUAUGUUAGUUGCUUGCUUCGAGCUUUGACCAUGUUCCUAGCCUAGUAGAUUUUGCCUUCCAGACAUAUAUAGACCAAGUAUGCCAAAUGUAUUUUAAAUAUGGCAAAAUCGUGUGGAGCUUAUUUCAGUUUCCUGGCCUAGAAUAGGUGACAUUCUAGGAUUUUUAAGGGGUAAUUUCUUUGACUCCAAUCUGAAACAUGACAGAACCCUAAAUGGCCGCAUAAUACAUUCUUCUUGCACCUGAUGCUACAUGGGUCAUAUAUUUCUUCUAUGUUAGCCCCUAGUCAAUUUCUAGUCCAAUUCAUGAGUGCCAGCUUGGUGAUGAUACCUUUUGUUAUUCAGAAAUAUACAUUUAUCAGUUGCUUCUCGUGUGACAUAACUUUGUUAUUUGGAAGUGAUUAUCACCUUUUCAGCUUUAGUUGUAAUAUUUUCGUGUGCUUGAAAAUAGAUUAGUGUGAUCUGUUAGUUUCUUUGCGUCCACCUUUGAUCGUAUUAUUACUUAUUGCUCUAUCAGAUUUUGCAUUUACGGACCGAGACAGCUUCAGUAUCACAGAUGUAUUUUCGAUCUGGCAAAAUUACCGUGGAGGAUAUUCCAGUAGCUGGCCUUUGAACAUAGAUGACAUUGUUGGUUUAUUAAUCUAUUAUUUUUCAUCCUCCAUUCUCAAAUAUGACGGAAUUCUAAAUGGUUGCAGGAUAUUGGCACAGCUUAUUCUUUUGCUCAUUUUUGUUCGUGUAGAGAUCCAGGAGAGACGGCAAUGUUCAAAAAAUCAAGUUGAACUGGGGAUGUGUCUUACUCCUAGGUACACAAUGAAAUGUAGAGCUACACCGCAUGUUGUGGUCUUCAGGGUCGGGCUGACUAGUACGAUGACAUCAACGAGUUGUCUAGUGGAGCUGAUGUAACUAAAUAAUUUGCACCGACUAAUGUAAUUUAUUACAUGUUCACAUAUUAAUUCCUUUAUUUUUAUAUGCACCCUAUGGCUGAAAUAUGUAAAGACAUGUGUGCAUGGACACAUAUAUAUGCUAUUCAAAUGGAGUUCUUACUCUA
This is a non-coding RNA of Lolium perenne, 2527 nucleotides long. The record is from RefSeq and is a predicted model, not a curated record. Lineage: Eukaryota; Viridiplantae; Streptophyta; Magnoliopsida; Poales; Poaceae.